This 203-nucleotide unclassified non-coding RNA is filed under the name Hevea brasiliensis (rubber tree). The record is from RNAcentral. Lineage: Eukaryota; Viridiplantae; Streptophyta; Magnoliopsida; Malpighiales; Euphorbiaceae.
AGUGGUCUUCCUGCAUAAGUGUCUGCAUUACUUUCAUUCAACACAACUUGUAAUUUCAAGGUAUAAUUCCCCAACUUCUGAAUAUUUUCCAUUUUUUUAAACCAGUAAGGCCAUUUUCCUCCAUGUUGACUAAUAUGCGAAAUAAUCUCUUUAUUUCCACUUGAAGAAUGUAAAAUAACUUUGAGCUCAACCAGGAGUUUCUU